UAAGCGGAGGAAAAGAAACUAACAAGGAUUCCCCUAGUAGCGGCGAGUGAAGCGGGAAGAGCUCAAAUUUGUAAUCUGGCGUCUUUCAGGCGUCCGAGUUGUAAUCUAUAGAAGUGUUUUCCGUGCUGGACCAUGUCCAAGUCCCUUGGAACAGGGUAUCAAAGAGGGUGACAAUCCCGUACUUGAUAUGGCCACCAGUGCUCUGUGAUACACUUUCUACGAGUCGAGUUGUUUGGGAAUGCAGCUCAAAAUGGGUGGUAAAUUCCAUCUAAAGCUAAAUAUUGGCGAGAGACCGAUAGCGAACAAGUACCGUGAGGGAAAGAUGAAAAGCACUUUGGAAAGAGAGUUAAACAGUACGUGAAAUUGUUGAAAGGGAAACGAUUGAAGUCAGUCGUGUUCAUUGGACUCAGCCGGUUCUUCCGGUCUAUUUCCUUUGAACGGGUCAACAUCAGUUUUGUCCGGUGGAUAAAGGCAGAGAGAAAGUGGCUCCCUCGGGAGUGUUAUAGCUUUUUGUCACAUACACUGGAGGAGACUGAGGACUGCAGCUCGCCUUUUGGCCGGGGUUCGCCCACGUUCGAGCUUAGGAUGUUGACAUAAUGGCUUUAAACGAC
This 611-nucleotide ribosomal RNA is filed under the name Vanrija albida. RNAcentral's name for it is "eukaryotic LSU rRNA". It matches the Rfam family "Eukaryotic large subunit ribosomal RNA", at positions 47 to 648 of the family's 3401-position model. Lineage: Eukaryota; Fungi; Basidiomycota; Tremellomycetes; Trichosporonales; Trichosporonaceae. The record is from RNAcentral.